Molecule: ribosomal RNA, 491 nt
Filed under: uncultured bacterium
Lineage: Bacteria
Description: partial 16S ribosomal RNA
Rfam family: Bacterial small subunit ribosomal RNA
Source: RNAcentral
AGUGAACGCUGGCGAUAGGCCUAACACAUGCAAGUCGAACGGCAGCACAGUCAGAGCUUGCCCUUCCGGAUGGCGCGUGGCGGACGGGUGAGGGUAACACCGAUAUCUCCUUUCUCGUGGGGGAUAACGUAGGGACACUAACGCUAAUACUGCAUACGACUUUCGGGUGACAGCAGGGGAUCUUCGACCCAUGCGCGACUGAAUGAGCCGAUGUCGGAUUACCUAGUUGGCGGGGCAAAGGCCCACCAAGGCGACGAUCCGUAGCUGGGCUGAGAGGAUGAAAAGCCACACUGGAUGGGAGACACGGACCAGACUCCUACGUGAGGCAGCAGUGGGUGAUAUAGGACAAUGGGCGCAAGGCUGAUCCAGCCAUACCGCGUGGGUGAAGAAGGCCUUCGCGUUGUAUAGCACUUUGGUUGGGAUAGAAAAUCAGCAGGGGAAUGCCCGGCUGUUCGGACGGUACCCAAAGAAUAAGCACCGGCAAUCUUCGU